Long non-coding RNA from Dreissena polymorpha, 1692 nucleotides. RefSeq lists it as uncharacterized. Lineage: Eukaryota; Metazoa; Mollusca; Bivalvia; Myida; Dreissenidae. The transcript has 2 exons. The record is from RefSeq and is a predicted model, not a curated record.
AGAUGAAUGCAUAUUAGGCUUCAAUGUUGCUUAUACUAUGACUAAUGGUUCAUACGAUGCCAUUUUUAUAAAUAUCUAUGCCAAAUUUAAUGAAAUCGACUUGAAAAUGUGUGUCGCCAGGUACCAAAUAAGAAAAAAAUCAGCAUUUUUAUGUAGGAUCUUCACACGGUAAAAUUGUUUGUGCCCAAAUAAUAAUACAUGUAGAUGAAUGCAUAUUAGGCUUCAAUGUUGCUUAUACUAUGACUACUUGUUCAUACGAUGCCAUUUUUUAAAAUAUCUAUGCCAAAUUUAAUGAAAAAGACUUGAAAAUGUGUGUCGCCAGGUACCAAGUAAGAAAAAAAUCAGCAUUUUUAUGUAGGGUCUUCACACAGUAAAAUUAUUUGUGCCCAAUUAAUAAUAGAUGAAUGCAUAUUAGGCUUCAAUGUUGCUUAUACUAUGACUACUGGUUCAUACGAUGCCAAUUUUAUAAAUAUCUAUGCCAAAUUUAAUGAAAUAGACUUGAAAAUGUGUGUCGCCAGGUACCAAGUAAGAAAAAAAUCAGCAUUUUUAUGUAGGGUCUUCACACAGUAAAAUUAUUUGUGCCCAAAUAAUAAUAGAUAAAUGCAUAUUAGGCUUCAAUGCAGGGUUGGCAUAUUGACCGGUCAAUUGAGUAUUGACCGGGCCGGCGGUCAAUACCUGGUUAAAACCGGUCAAUACUGGUCAUUACUGGUCGAUUGAAAAUUGUAGCAUUUAAACAUUACAAAGGAGCCAUUUUAUAUAAAAUCAAUAAUUAUUCUGUAAUUGAUAAACUUUUUUCUGAGUUAUUUAUUUUUAAAAAAAUCUUUAAAGCUGUUAAAAGUUACUUCUUAAUUAUUUAUGGAAACAGCCUCAAAUACAUAAGGACUAAGGCAAUAUCUUUAUCUCAGUGUAUCACAUCUGUUACUAAUUAGCCGGAUUUUACAUAAAUUCCAGGUUGAUAAACACAACAAGGUAAAGGUACCUUGUAGUCGGUGAGAUAUAAUAAUAAUACAGUUAGUAAGGCUCGUACCCUGGGUACGGUAAAUAUACUAAAACGUACGCGGAAAUUUUAACACUAAAUCGGUUGUUGUCGGCUAUUUUGUAAAAAUUAAUUAUGUUUACAUUUAUGUCAAUUUUCUGUUAAAUGGCAUUUAUAUUAUCAAAACUCAUUGUUAAAAUCAAUAAUGUGAUUUAAUUUUAAAUCUUAAAUUGUUUAAAGUCGCGUCAUUGUAUGACGUCGUCAAGUAUAAUAUUUUCCGCGACAUCGCACGUUCACUUUUUACCGUCAUAGAUUUUUUUAAAGAAACAUUAUUUGGUUACCAAGGUCCGUUAAAUGGGGAACACCAUAUUCGGUAUUUAUAUUAUGUUUUAACAAUUAAUUAAUGCUGUGUAAUAAAUAUUGUUUAAGAUAUUUCUAUAUUUAUUGAAAAUGUUUCAAAAUGUUAUUUAUGAAACAUCUUAUUCUAAUGAGUGUAUGCUAUUAUAUUAUACUUUGAAAAGCAUAUCUGUUGUACUAUAAUCUUAUUAUUCAUUUAUUACUGUUAAUUUCAUUUAUUGUAGAGAAUCGUCAAUGUUACAUCUAGUCGCCAAUGCUUGUUGUCAGUGUUAGUCUUAAAUGCUUGUGAUCAUUGUCGUCGAUGUUAGUCGUCAAUCCUUAUCGUCAUUAUACAUGAAGGAAAUAAAAGCAGAAACAGA